Parus major (Great Tit) is the source of this 3021-nucleotide long non-coding RNA. RefSeq lists it as uncharacterized. The record is from RefSeq and is a predicted model, not a curated record. Lineage: Eukaryota; Metazoa; Chordata; Aves; Passeriformes; Paridae. The transcript is spliced from 4 exons.
UUCAUUCCAGAGGAAUUUAUUCCAGAAUAAAGUCACUCCCCAUGCAUUAUCAAGACUAGGCUUCCUGCUCAGUCCCCUUCUAGCCUGUCAGGCCUGUGCUGGAGCAGCCUGCUUUUAAAGGAAUGUGAGACCAGCCAGGGACUGACCUCUGCAAGGAGCUGCCAGCAAAUAGAACAGCACUCAGCCAGUGUGGCCCACUGGAAACAGCUCAGGGUUCCUCUAAGCUCACAGAGUUUCUCUCACCCAUUGAAUCAUCAUGUGAAGUGGACUUUAAUAUUUACUCCCCAUCCAGUUUAAGCAAACUUUUCCUUCCUUCAAUAGUUUUAGUCUGUGCCCAUGGAGCAUGGAGGUGGCUUCCUGGGAUGGAGGAACUGAGCUCAUGCCACAUGAAGGAGUCUCCAUUUCUACUUGCCUCAGCCUCAGAGGCCAAAAUCGUUCACAUGAAAGGCAGAUUAUUGCAAAUUAAUUAAGAAAAUGAGCAUGAAGGAACUGCACAAGUAUUUACAAUAGCAUGGUGAAAGAGGGAGCCCAGGGACAAGGACAAAGGGCUGGUGGCAAGAGGAACCCCCUAAGAGUGAUGGGAGCAUCAGAAUCCUGAAAGUGAUUUAAGUGAAAAUACACUUAAAUGUUGGUCAAAGGAAAUCCUAAGGAGAAAGAAUUUUCAUGGGUAUUUAUCUGGAGUGUCUCACCUGGAAAAGGAUCAAGGAACAUAACCUUGAAAUAAAGCCCUGCUAGCUACCACCCAAAAUUUAAUAUGGACAACCAGCUUUAUGUUAUAUUUUAAAAAAACAACAUGGUGCUGAGUGCUGUAAUGUUUACAGAUGUAUUUUUAUUAAAUUUACACCUACAGUUUUUUGUGAAAUCUCACAAGUGACAAACAAAGGCCUACUAAGUCAGCUGAAAACUGCACAGAGGAGCCAGGCUGGGAUGUUCUUGCUGUUGUUGCUUCUUGUUGUUCUUGUUGUUAAGGAUGGCAUGAACAAGGGGGAGCAAUGAAUGCAUUGUCUUUCAUUGCUGGGUAAGAGCUCUGAAGGAGCCCAGACAUGCCCAAUCCAUCAGAAGAGAAAACAAGAGGACUGCAUUUAAUGUUCUCUCCAGCAGGCAAAAGAGGAUCAGAGACUAUAAGAAGAUGUCACAGGGAAGGCAGAAGUAAACACAGAGACAGCUGGAGAGCUCCUGGAACAGGGAAAGAGCAGGAAGGCGUGAGGCUGGGAAUUGACUGAAUCCUCUGUGCAGUCACUCUGGUCACAGUUUCUCCUUUCUCCCUGGAAUGGACAAGCAGGAAACUGGGUUAUGCUCCCUCAGCUUCUGGCUGCAUGAGCACAUGCCCAGGGAGAGACUGCAGCUAGACCAGGCGGAGAACAUAUGGGAUGACACAAUGUGAAUAAAUGGAAAUUUUGCCCAGUUCAAACUGUCAGGACAGAAGACAAGGUAGGAGCAUACAGUAGGGUUAGAUGUACUCCUGACUCUAUGCAAUACAUAUGCUUUAAAUGCCUCAGUCCUAAAAGCUCAGUGUUCUGAAAGCAGGCUGUCCCUUGUCCUCUCAAACAGGCACAUCUUUCCAGUACCGUUCCUCUCUUGGCACAGGGGGACAGAAGAACAUCAGAAACUAAAGCUCCAGGGCAGCUGGAGUGAAGAAAGGGAACCCAAAGAGAGAAGAAGCAUCUCCCAGUGAACCACAUGGAAGAGUAGAGGCAGAAGGAUGCAAGGGGGAGAAUGGGAGAUAAAGUUAUGAUGAAUGUUAUGGGAGAGGUAAUUGUGUCAUUGAAGGUCAGAGAAGAAAUGGGCACGUGCAAAGAGAAGCCAGCAGCACUGGAGGAAGAGGAGGAUAUGCAGGAAGAAUUGGGCAAUGAGAUCUCCUUGGAAAGAUGAGUGGUGUUGGGGCAGUGGCUUUCACAGCAGCCUGGGAGGGAUUUACAGCUCCAUGACCUGCACUCACAUCUGGCAGCUGAUGCUGUCUUGGAGGUACAAACCUACAUGUCCCAAGUUGUGACUAUUUCCUCUGGGCAACAAAGAAGCUCAGAAACUAUUGCUGCUCAUGCUGAGGGGUUUGGCACUGGCAGGAGCUGUUGUCAUGUGCAUUUACAAAGGUCCCCACCUCCAGCAGUACCCGAGCACACCAGGAACUCGAGUGAGCCGAGGCAGCCAGGUGCACAGCUGCCUACAGCGUGUGAUGUUCACUGCUAACAAUUUUGUAACUCAUUUGAGACAGCCCCUGCCCGCUCUGUGUACUGAGGGGAAAGCUCCCAGCACACCCAUUUAAUUCAUUUUCAUAACAGGAGAUUAUAACUUCCAAAUAUUUGUCAAGAAUUCUCAAGAGCCACGCCAGAAAUUAUUUGUACGUCAGAGGCACUUAUAAAGUGCAGGAGGAUGCCUGGAGAAGCUGAGGUUUAGAUUGCAAAUACUGUGGUAUCAUGACAGCUUUUCACUGAGAGUUGCAGCACGUGCGUUUGCACUUCUAUUAUAAAACCUUAUUCAGCUGCUGAAGGGGCUAAAGCCAUUCUUAGGUUCUCUAAAAGAUCUUUUUAAUUCCUAGCUCUCCCUGUGGGAGGCUGGAGGCCAGCUAUUCUUUCCACUCGAAGAGUAGGUACCUACAAUUCUUGACAAGCAAAGUUCUUUGUAGGCAGAGAAAAGUAGGCUAAAUGCAAAAAAUGCCUGUGAGGAGUUUUUCAGCACAUGCAGAAACUGCGAAUUGUUGGUUCUUAUCCUAACUUGUCACCCCAUUUCUAACAUAUGCUAAAGAUGGUUAUUCUUGAAGAAAAGACCUUUAUCAUAAGAAAAAAACAAGACAAAACAAAAUCAUAUUUAUAUUUCUCAUAACAGAGUAUAAAUAAAACUAUGAAACUAUUCAGCAAAGGCCAUUUUAAAACGUUUUUUAAAUGUGUUUAAGAGCUCACUUAAGACAAUUUAAAAUAUUCACUCAUUUAUGUGUCACUGGAUGAAAAGUAACCCCUCUAGAACAAGUUUAUAACAAUCUUCUCCAAGUUUUGUGUCAAUGGUGUUCUCAGGUAUAUCCUGGAC